UAGAGAGUGAUACUUAUCUUGUAAUAUCAUGCUUGAAGAAAAAGAGGUUGCAUAUAUUAGAGUUGAAUUAUUGUGUCAUGCUCCCAACUCGAGAUCUGCAAGCCAAGAGCCACAGCAACCAUCGCAUACUUAUGGAGAACUCUGCUCACAAGUAUGCAAGGCAUUUCAAAUACGAUAUCAAUACUUCAUAGCAGAAAUCAUAAUAAAUUAAGUCCAAAAUUUAAUUAACUAAAUCGACUUCAAUCUCUCACAAGAUUUCAACAAUAUUAAGA
This 272-nucleotide long non-coding RNA is filed under the name Elaeis guineensis (African oil palm). Its description in RNAcentral is "long non-coding RNA (EGUI_LNC039909)". The record is from RNAcentral. Lineage: Eukaryota; Viridiplantae; Streptophyta; Magnoliopsida; Arecales; Arecaceae.